This 119-nucleotide ribosomal RNA is filed under the name Petromyzon marinus (sea lamprey). Lineage: Eukaryota; Metazoa; Chordata; Hyperoartia; Petromyzontiformes; Petromyzontidae. The record is from RNAcentral.
GCCUACCACCAUCUCACCCUGAAUGCGCCCGAUCUCGUCUGAUCUCGGAAGCUAAGCAGAGUCGAGCCUGGUUAGUACUUGGAUGGGAAACAGCCUGGGAAUACCAGGUGUUGUAGGCU